CUUUGCUGAGAAAUUAUCCUAUUUGGGGUAUUAAGUGCCUCUUUAAACAUAGCCUACAUUUUAAAAUUUAGAAUAUUUUUUACAUUUUCUCUCCCACACCAAACUCUUGUGACAAAAAUAACAAAACCAAAAAACAGUAGUCUCCCUUUACUCGUGGGAGAUAUGUUCCAAGACCCCCAGCAGAUGCCUGAAACCGCGGGGAGUAACGAACCCUAUAUAUACCAUGUUUUUUCCUAUACAUACAUACCUAUGAUAAAGUUUAACUUAAAAAUAGGCACAUUAAGAGAUUAACAAUAGUAAAAUAGAACAAUUAUACUGUAUAAAAAUUAUGUGAAUGUGGCCUCUCAAAACCUUUUUGUACUCACCCUUCGUGUGAUGUGAGAUGGUACAACGCCUACAAGAUGAGACGAAGUGAGGUGAAUGACCUAAGCACUAUGACACAGCAUUAGGCUACUACUGACCUUCUGACGAUUAGUCAGGAGGAUCAUUGAGCCAUGACGAAGGCUGGAUGUCAGGACCAUACGAGGUCUACUGUUGACCUCAGGUAACUGAAACUAUGGAAAGCGAAACUGCAGAUAAGUGGGGACUACUGUACCACAAACUUUCUUUAUGGAAAGUAUCAACACCUUAUUUUAUCAUUACCAAUGUAUGCAUCUGGUGCCAAAGAAAUAAAGGAAAUCUUACGAACUCAGAAUUUUUCACAUACAUUUUAUUGUACUUGUAUUGAAAUUUCCACUUUAUUGUACAGUUUUAUAUCAUACUAGUUGAAACGCAUUUCUCUAGAACUCAAACAGCUCCUUUGGAAUUACUUCAGUCAUCCUUAACAUGUGACUUUACCAAAGAUUUUGAAUCUAAACAAACAAAAUUUUGAUUAUUAACUUUUACAUGAAUGGGAUAAGAAAUAAAGUCAUCAGAUGAUGGUUGGGUCUGUUAAUUUCCAAGACACUUUGUAGAAAUUUUUCUUCUGCUACAGCAGUUAUAAAUUAGAACUUCAAAAAACAGGGCAGAACCCAAGUACAAUAAAAGAAGCUUCUGCAGCAUAACCUCCUGCAGUCCCAAGCCUCUGAGAGAAGCGAGGCAAAGCAUCUUUCCUGCAAAUUAAGUGGGUUUCCAGUAUUUCCACGCAGUUGAGCUUUCAUUGACAGAUGCUCGAGACAUAUCAUUAAUAAAUACACCCUCUUGGCUCUGGCUGCAUUAAUUAUGCCUGAAGAGUUUAAUGCCCAUCCAAGUCCAAAGGUGGAAGAACACAUAAACUGGGAUGGUGACGGGCAAGAGCAGACUGUAGAAGCACAGGCUGGAGGUGCUAGUGCAGCCCUGUGGGAAGUUUUCUUCCACAGAGGCCGAGUACAACAGGCCUGCUAAAGAGACCAGGGGAAUAAGGACAGUCAAUGUAGGAAGAGAGAGAAACAUCUUCUCCCCCACUUAGUAAACGAACCCGCCACGCUGACUUGUUAAAACCUAGAUGGUGGUAAGAAAAUUGAGUUGGUGUGUGUUUCGUUGUUUUGUUUUUAAUUAUGAUCUAGUGCUGCUCCAUCUCUUCUUGCUUCUUAUUCGGACGUGUCAUCCGAGCUGCCUGCGGUAUCAUAUUAGGAAUCCCAUCAAUAAUUGGAUAGGCUAUUCCCAACUCUUCGUUAAUCAAUUCAUUUGUUGAUGCUUCAUACCUGAGGGGGAAAAAGAAAAACAAGAUGAAUCGUGGAAAACAAAAUGCUUGGAAGAGCUUGAUAUUCAAUAACCAACACCAUUUAUCCAAUUCUUGGCACAGACUUAAUCCCAGAAAAGCACAAUUAAAAUACUUUCAAUUCUAAAAGCAGUAAUAGCCAACUGAACUGUUUCUCUUAGAAAGCGAAUCUCUAAUUCUUCCCAUUUUAGUCAGUUUCUCUCAUAUUUUCUUUUUCACUUUAUUCUCAAGCUAUGCCUUUAUUUUUUUUUAUACCAGUCAGAAAAGAUCUCCCCUUUUAUCCAAAUAUUUCUUUACUCUGGUCAACCCUCAAACCAUCCGAGUCAAUUUACUACCGGAAUAGCCACUAGAGAAAAAUUCAACUUCUUCGUGUUAUGAUACAUGCUUAACAGAGCAACCUAACUGAUCCAUUAGAAGGAAACCACCGAAAAAUCAACAUGCACAAAACAGAAGUCUGAGAAAGACGAGAGGGCAGAAAUGAAACUGGAAAGCGGCGGGUCUGCAGUGAGCUGGUUACAGAAUUACCUAAAAGGUGGAGAAAGUGGUAAUUUCAAGGUUUAAGAACAUUGAAUGAGUAAUACGUUCAUUAUGGGAAGAAUCUAGGAAGAGAAAUGCAAAGAGAUGAAAAUAAAAAUUACUAGCAAUCUACCCCCCAAGAUAAAGACUGGUAACAUUUGGGUGUUUAGUGUAUUCGAUGUGCAAACCCAGCGUCGUCAAAGUUCAGCGUCGGCAGCCCGGACUGCAGAGCUGCGCAACCCAGGGACUCUAGGUCAAAGACGAAGGGGCCUGUACAAACCCGGCCAGUCCAGAACUAACGCCCAAGGGCAGCACACGGAGCUGACAGGCUUAAGGCCGCCAGGCACUGCACAAGAAUAUGGAGGCCACCACAAUACUUUUCAUCAUCUUCGCUUAAAAAUCUGACCGCCUUGGACUAGUCCUGAAUCCCGACAGCGCGUAAACCUGAAUCUGAAUCACGUGGGAUCUUUGUAAGAAAAUACGUACUGGCUCAGGCCCCGCCCUCAGGCCUUCCGCUUCUGUCCGCCGGGGACCCGGGAAUCGGCAUUUUAAGGGUUCCCCGGCGGCGACCCUCUAAAGCUUCCAUCCCUACCCGCGGGCCGGCCGUGUAACUCGCUCGGCCCUCGCCGCCCGGAGAGGUACGUGGGAGCCGGCUGGGCCCGGGUCCAGAAAAUGGCCGCGAGGACACAGGACGAGCCCGAAGGCCCGCAGCGGCGCGCGGCCCGCCCCCCCGCACGGCGGCCCGUCUCACCGGAGCGGCUUCUUGGAGAGCGGGCACACCAGGAACUCCAGCAGCGCCGGGUCGAAGGCGCGGGCCGGCCCCUCCGGGUCCUCGCUUUUGUCUGCCAACGGCCGCGCCCCGGACGCGUGCAGCCGCCUCUGGGCGGUUGCGGCCGGCGGCGCGCGCGUCCCCCGCAGCGACGAGGCAAGCCGGCCGCACGCUCCCCUCAGCAUGGUCCGCGCCCGCGCCCGCCGCCCCGCUUCGCCCGCAGCCGCCCCACCGCUCCCCGCGGCCCGCCCCGCCGGCCAGGCCGCGCCCCCGGUGCUCGGGAAACGCAGUCCCGCGGGGCGGGCUCUAGCGCUUUGGUUCCGAGGGCCCUCCCGCCCGGAGUGGUUUUCCCGCCGCCCGGAGUGGUUUUCCCGCCGCCCGGCUCUCUAGUUCCGAGGCUUCCGGGGGCUGUUUACCGGCUUUACAAAUUAGAAACAAAACCGAUGCCUAAAUCGGGGCGUCCUCAGUUUUCUCCAGGACCUGUCGCAGGGCUGCGGGGAAGCCAGUGGGCGGUCCUCACAGUCACCCGGUGUGAGACUUGGACCUACGUGUUAUCUCCAAAAUGAGGUUUCAAACGCAGCCGGAGCGGGUGUGCAGAAGCAGUGAUUUGCCUUUGUAAAUCUUUACUGUACCACAGGAGACCCAGGAAAGCCGAGGGAAUAAAUCCAGUCUGAGUCCAAAGUCCUGAGGACCAGGGGAGCAGAUGAUGUAAAUCCCAGUCCAAGGGCAGGAGAAGACAGACAUCCCAGCUCAAGCCACAAGGCCUUGCUCAUCCCUUCUCCCGGUGCUGUGGAUUUGGCCCCGUGAAGGAUCUUGAAGCGUGCGGACCUGGCAGCGCUCCUCAGUAUCCCGGUUGCUUGCCUUUGGGGACUAGACAGCUCCUGCUCACGAAGGACUGCACCUGCGUCCAGGACUGGACGGGGAGGUGAAACGAGAAGUUACUGAGGCGCUGUACUUCCGUUCCCCUUGGUUCCUCCAUCGGUUGCUCCUCUAAUUUAAUUCUGAGUGGGUGGGAACACAUCUAUGUCCAGUACAGUGCCGGCUUCUCCCUAUUUUUUUUCCUAAACAUUUCUGUCUCCACAGCACACCUUUCCACAGUGGCCGAUAGGCAAGGCAAAGGAGGCAAAG
Molecule: long non-coding RNA, 4091 nt
Organism: Equus caballus (horse)
Lineage: Eukaryota; Metazoa; Chordata; Mammalia; Perissodactyla; Equidae
Source: Ensembl